UUAAGCGACUAAGCGUACACGGUGGAUGCCCUGGCAGUCAGAGGCGAUGAAGGACGUGCUAAUCUGCGAUAAGCGUCGGUAAGGUGAUAUGAACCGUUAUAACCGGCGAUUUCCGAAUGGGGAAACCCAGUGUGUUUCGACACACUAUCAUUAACUGAAUCCAUAGGUUAAUGAGGCGAACCGGGGGAACUGAAACAUCUAAGUACCCCGAGGAAAAGAAAUCAACCGAGAUUCCCCCAGUAGCGGCGAGCGAACGGGGAGCAGCCCAGAGCCUGAAUCAGUGUGUGUGUUAGUGGAAGCGUCUGGAAAGGCGCGCGAUACAGGGUGACAGCCCCGUACACAAAAAUGCACAUGCUGUGAGCUCGAUGAGUAGGGCGGGACACGUGGUAUCCUGUCUGAAUAUGGGGGGACCAUCCUCCAAGGCUAAAUACUCCUGACUGACCGAUAGUGAACCAGUACCGUGAGGGAAAGGCGAAAAGAACCCCGGCGAGGGGAGUGAAAAAGAACCUGAAACCGUGUACGUACAAGCAGUGGGAGCACGCUUAGGCGUGUGACUGCGUACCUUUUGUAUAAUGGGUCAGCGACUUAUAUUCUGUAGCAAGGUUAACCGAAUAGGGGAGCCGAAGGGAAACCGAGUCUUAACUGGGCGUUAAGUUGCAGGGUAUAGACCCGAAACCCGGUGAUCUAGCCAUGGGCAGGUUGAAGGUUGGGUAACACUAACUGGAGGACCGAACCGACUAAUGUUGAAAAAUUAGCGGAUGACUUGUGGCUGGGGGUGAAAGGCCAAUCAAACCGGGAGAUAGCUGGUUCUCCCCGAAAGCUAUUUAGGUAGCGCCUCGUGAAUUCAUCUCCGGGGGUAGAGCACUGUUUCGGCAAGGGGGUCAUCCCGACUUACCAACCCGAUGCAAACUGCGAAUACCGGAGAAUGUUAUCACGGGAGACACACGGCGGGUGCUAACGUCCGUCGUGAAGAGGGAAACAACCCAGACCGCCAGCUAAGGUCCCAAAGUCAUGGUUAAGUGGGAAACGAUGUGGGAAGGCCCAGACAGCCAGGAUGUUGGCUUAGAAGCAGCCAUCAUUUAAAGAAAGCGUAAUAGCUCACUGGUCGAGUCGGCCUGCGCGGAAGAUGUAACGGGGCUAAACCAUGCACCGAAGCUGCGGCAGCGACGCUUAUGCGUUGUUGGGUAGGGGAGCGUUCUGUAAGCCUGUGAAGGUGUACUGUGAGGUAUGCUGGAGGUAUCAGAAGUGCGAAUGCUGACAUAAGUAACGAUAAAGCGGGUGAAAAGCCCGCUCGCCGGAAGACCAAGGGUUCCUGUCCAACGUUAAUCGGGGCAGGGUGAGUCGACCCCUAAGGCGAGGCCGAAAGGCGUAGUCGAUGGGAAACAGGUUAAUAUUCCUGUACUUGGUGUUACUGCGAAGGGGGGACGGAGAAGGCUAUGUUGGCCGGGCGACGGUUGUCCCGGUUUAAGCGUGUAGGCUGGUUUUCCAGGCAAAUCCGGAAAAUCAAGGCUGAGGCGUGAUGACGAGGCACUACGGUGCUGAAGCAACAAAUGCCCUGCUUCCAGGAAAAGCCUCUAAGCAUCAGGUAACAUCAAAUCGUACCCCAAACCGACACAGGUGGUCAGGUAGAGAAUACCAAGGCGCUUGAGAGAACUCGGGUGAAGGAACUAGGCAAAAUGGUGCCGUAACUUCGGGAGAAGGCACGCUGAUAUGUAGGUGAAGUCCCUCGCGGAUGGAGCUGAAAUCAGUCGAAGAUACCAGCUGGCUGCAACUGUUUAUUAAAAACACAGCACUGUGCAAACACGAAAGUGGACGUAUACGGUGUGACGCCUGCCCGGUGCCGGAAGGUUAAUUGAUGGGGUUAGCGCAAGCGAAGCUCUUGAUCGAAGCCCCGGUAAACGGCGGCCGUAACUAUAACGGUCCUAAGGUAGCGAAAUUCCUUGUCGGGUAAGUUCCGACCUGCACGAAUGGCGUAAUGAUGGCCAGGCUGUCUCCACCCGAGACUCAGUGAAAUUGAACUCGCUGUGAAGAUGCAGUGUACCCGCGGCAAGACGGAAAGACCCCGUGAACCUUUACUAUAGCUUGACACUGAACAUUGAGCCUUGAUGUGUAGGAUAGGUGGGAGGCUUUGAAGUGUGGACGCCAGUCUGCAUGGAGCCGACCUUGAAAUACCACCCUUUAAUGUUUGAUGUUCUAACGUGGACCCGUAAUCCGGGUUGCGGACAGUGUCUGGUGGGUAGUUUGACUGGGGCGGUCUCCUCCUAAAGAGUAACGGAGGAGCACGAAGGUUGGCUAAUCCUGGUCGGACAUCAGGAGGUUAGUGCAAUGGCAUAAGCCAGCUUGACUGCGAGCGUGACGGCGCGAGCAGGUGCGAAAGCAGGUCAUAGUGAUCCGGUGGUUCUGAAUGGAAGGGCCAUCGCUCAACGGAUAAAAGGUACUCCGGGGAUAACAGGCUGAUACCGCCCAAGAGUUCAUAUCGACGGCGGUGUUUGGCACCUCGAUGUCGGCUCAUCACAUCCUGGGGCUGAAGUAGGUCCCAAGGGUAUGGCUGUUCGCCAUUUAAAGUGGUACGCGAGCUGGGUUUAGAACGUCGUGAGACAGUUCGGUCCCUAUCUGCCGUGGGCGCUGGAGAACUGAGGGGGGCUGCUCCUAGUACGAGAGGACCGGAGUGGACGCAUCACUGGUGUUCGGGUUGUCAUGCCAAUGGCACUGCCCGGUAGCUAAAUGCGGAAGAGAUAAGUGCUGAAAGCAUCUAAGCACGAAACUUGCCCCGAGAUGAGUUCUCCCUGACUCCUUGAGAGUCCUGAAGGAACGUUGAAGACGACGACGUUGAUAGGCCGGGUGUGUAAGCGCAGCGAUGCGUUGAGCUAACCGGUACUAAUGAACCGUGAGGCUUAACCUU
Molecule: ribosomal RNA, 2902 nt
Filed under: Escherichia coli
Lineage: Bacteria; Pseudomonadati; Pseudomonadota; Gammaproteobacteria; Enterobacterales; Enterobacteriaceae
Description: bacterial LSU rRNA
Rfam family: Bacterial large subunit ribosomal RNA
Source: RNAcentral